RNAcentral lists this ribosomal RNA (262 nucleotides) under uncultured bacterium. RNAcentral's name for it is "partial 16S ribosomal RNA". It matches the Rfam family "Bacterial small subunit ribosomal RNA", at positions 793 to 1055 of the family's 1533-position model. The record is from RNAcentral.
GUCCACGCCGUAAACGAUGUCGACUUGGAGGUUGUGCCCUUGAGGCGUGGCUUCCGGAGCUAACGCGUUAAGUCGACCGCCUGGGGAGUACGGCCGCAAGGUUAAAACUCAAAUGAAUUGACGGGGCCCGCACAAGCGGUGGAGCAUGUGGUUUAAUUCGAUGCAACGCGAAGAACCUUACCUACUCUUGACAUCCAGAGAACUUAGCAGAGAUGCUUUGGUGCCUUCGGGAACUCUGAGACAGGUGCUGCAUGGCUGUCGU